GAAUCUGAUGCAUCGAUGCCGCGUGAGUGAAGAAGGCCUUUGGGUUGUAAAGCUCUUUUGUAGGGGAAGAUAAUGACUGUACCCUAAGAAUAAGGUCCGGCUAACUUCGUGCCAGCAGCCGCGGUAAUACGAAGGGACCUAGCGUAGUUCGGAAUUACUGGGCGUAAAGCGCGCGUAGGCCGUUGAGUUAGUUAAUUGUGAAAUCCCAAAGCUUAACUUUGGAACUGCAAUUAAAACUGCUCGACUAGAGUUUGACAGAGGAAAGCGGAAUACAUAGUGUAGAGGUGAAAUUCGUAGAUAUUAUGUAGAACACCAGUUGCGAAGGCGGCUUUCUGGGUCAACACUGACGCUGAGGCGCGAAAGUAUGGGUAGCAAAGAGGAUUAGAUACCCUCGUAGUCCAUACCAUAAACGAUGAUUGCUAGAUGUUGGAAAUUUAUUUUCAGUAUCGCAGCUAACGCAUUAAGCAAUCCGCCUGGGGAGUACGACCGCAAGGUUAAAACUCAAAUGAAUUGACGGGGACCCGCACAAGCGGUGGAGCAUGUGGUUUAAUUCGAAGAUACGCGCAGAAGCUUUACAAGCCUUGACAUGUCUGUCGCGAGUUAGG
Molecule: ribosomal RNA, 605 nt
Filed under: uncultured bacterium
Lineage: Bacteria
Description: bacterial SSU rRNA
Rfam family: Bacterial small subunit ribosomal RNA
Source: RNAcentral